RNAcentral lists this ribosomal RNA (269 nucleotides) under Cronobacter muytjensii 530. RNAcentral's name for it is "Large Subunit Ribosomal RNA; lsuRNA; LSU rRNA". It matches the Rfam family "Bacterial large subunit ribosomal RNA", at positions 2349 to 2617 of the family's 2925-position model. The record is from RNAcentral. Lineage: Bacteria; Pseudomonadati; Pseudomonadota; Gammaproteobacteria; Enterobacterales; Enterobacteriaceae.
GUGCAAUGGCAUAAGCUGGCUUGACUGCGAGAGUGACGGCUCGAGCAGGUGCGAAAGCAGGUCAUAGUGAUCCGGUGGUUCUGUAUGGAAGGGCCAUCGCUCAACGGAUAAAAGGUACUCCGGGGAUAACAGGCUGAUACCGCCCAAGAGUUCAUAUCGACGGCGGUGUUUGGCACCUCGAUGUCGGCUCAUCACAUCCUGGGGCUGAAGUAGGUCCCAAGGGUAUGGCUGUUCGCCAUUUAAAGUGGUACGCGAGCUGGGUUUAGAAC